Molecule: long non-coding RNA, 1040 nt
Organism: Eriocheir sinensis (Chinese mitten crab)
Lineage: Eukaryota; Metazoa; Arthropoda; Malacostraca; Decapoda; Varunidae
Exons: 7
Source: RefSeq, a predicted model, not a curated record
UUUCACCUCAAGUACGAGAGUCCAGUGCGGGACACCUGGCGAUUUCUGAGCCCCACACUGCUUUUAUCACCCAAAUAACCGCCUUCACAUAUGAUUAUUGUUUAAAGGGUUAAUUAUUGGGGCUUCUUGGCAUCAGGUAUGGGUCAGAAGCCGGUAAAUGCGCGGCUUUGAGUACGAUAAUCUAGCAUCGGUGCGCGGUAAAAAAUCAUAACACAGCUGAUCGUCCACGCAGUUCCUCCUUCACGACGUGUUUUGAGAGGUGCUUGCAGUGUUUUUGGCGGAGCGUGACACCAAGAUGACCUACCAGAAUGUGAGCAUCGUGCUGUCGCCCACCAUGCAGAUUUCUCACCGGGUGCUCAAUGUCUUCUUCCUCAACCGUGCCUACCUCUUUGGGGGAGUCGCCAUCAAAAAGUUUCGGGCGCCCAGCCGUACACGUGAACUAACAGUCUUGGCUUCAGGGCAGGUCGCUAAAAUGAAACCACUACAUGCGUGAGAUGACCCGCCCCGCCCCGCCCCACCUUCCUGGCCUGCCCGCCCCCUGGCAUAAAUUGUUUCCAGAAACCCCUAAAUGACCGACUCUUCCAUGCCUCAGAUGACCCGCCCUGCCCUGCGUCAUGACCUCCCGGCACACAUUGAAACCGUGCGCUGAAUGGAUGACUUUUUAAUGCUGGAGGUCCACUCCCUGACGCCCCGCCCUGCCCCGCCCUGCACGUCACGACCUGCCCCUGCGUCAGUUGAGCGGUGGCACUGCCCGGCACUUCCUCAAGAAGGCUCUCCUGCCCCUGACUGGCUGGUGUGACAGUCUGCUGCUUCUUGGUGAGUGUAAGAUGUCCGGCUAAGGAAACGCAGGGCGUGUGUGCUCCCGUUUACUGAGUGAGUGAGUAACUGACAAAGGUUCGCCUCGCGGGUGCCGGCGCUGGCGGAAAACAUCUCGUGCAUCCAACAUCCCCCCUCCAAGAUACAUCUGUGCCCAACAAUGGAUCUGAAAAUUAUUAUUCCUACUAGAAAUGAAUACAAUGCUAUGGACUGGGUGGGAGCAU